Molecule: unclassified non-coding RNA, 341 nt
Filed under: soil metagenome
Description: partial contains 5.8S ribosomal RNA, internal transcribed spacer 2, and large subunit ribosomal RNA
Rfam family: 5.8S ribosomal RNA (bases 1-120)
Source: RNAcentral
GAUGAAGAACGUAGCGAAAUGCGAUAAGUAGUGUGAAUUGCAGAAUUCAGUGAAUCAUCGAAUCUUUGAACGCACAUUGCGGCCAUAGGUAUUCCUUUGGCCAUGCCUGUUCGAGCGUCAUUUACACCCUCAAGCCUAGCUUGGUGUUGGGCGCCUGUCCCGCCGUUUUCGCGCGCGGACUCGCCUCAAAGUCAUUGGCGGCGGUCGUGCCGGCCCCCUCGCGCAGCACAUUUGCGCUUCUCGGAGGCCCGGCGGAUCCGCGCUCCAGCAAGACCUUUCACGACUUGACCUCGGAUCAGGUAGGGAUACCCGCUGAACUUAAGCAUAUCAAUAAGCGGAGG